GGCUAGGGGGUCAUCCCGACUUACCAACCCUUUGCAAACUCCGAAUACCAAUGAGUACUACUCGGGAGACACACGACGGGUGCUAACGUCCGCCGUGAAAAGGGAAACAACCCAGACCACCAGCUAAGGUCCCAAAGUCAUGGUUAAGUGGAAAACGAUGUGGGAAGGCAUAGACAGCUAGGAGGUUGGCUUAGAAGCAGCCACCCUUUAAAGAAAGCGUAAUAGCUCACUAGUCGAGUCGGCCUGCGCGGAAGAUGUAACGGGGCUAAACCAUGCACCGAAGCUGUGGACUUGUGCUAGGCACAAGUGGUAGAGGAGCGUUCUGUAAGCCUGCGAAGGCAUCUCGUGAGGGGUGCUGGAGGUAUCAGAAGUGCGAAUGCUGACAUAAGUAACGAUAAGGGGAGUGAAAAACUUCCCCGCCGGAAGACCAAGGGUUCCUAUCCCAUGCUAAUCAGGGUAGGGUAAGUCGGCCCCUAAGGCGAGGGCGAAAGCCGUAGUCGAUGGGAAACAGGUUAAUAUUCCUGUACUUGAUAUAUAGCGUGAUGGAGGGACGCAGGAAGGUAGGCAAUCCAGGUGUUGGAAGUCCUGGUGUAAGCAAGUAGGAGUGUCUAAUAGGUAAAUCCGUUAGAUGAAUCUGAGAUGCGAAUCCGUGAACGAAAGUUCUGAAGUUGUUGAGCCUAAGCUGCCAAGAAAAGCUUCUAAGCAUAUAUAUAUCAAACCGUACCGCAAACCAACACAGGUGGGUAGGACGAAUAGUCCAAGGCGCUCGAGAGAACUCUGGCCAAGGAACUCGGCAAAAUGACCCCGUAACUUCGGAAGAAGGGGUGCUUUUGAGGGUGAAGAUAAAACAAUCUGAGCUUUUGAAAGCCGCAGUGAAUUGGUGGUGGCGACUGUUUACUAAAAACAUAGGUCUCUGCAAAGUCGUAAGACGAAGUAUAGGGACUGACGCCUGCCCGGUGCUGGAAGGUUAAAAGGAGUUGUCAGCGUAAGCGAAGCAGCGAAUUGAAGCCCCAGUAAACGGCGGCCGUAACUAUAACGGUCCUAAGGUAGCGAAAUUCCUUGUCGGGUAAGUUCCGACCUGCACGAAUGGUGUAACGAUCUGGGCGCUGUCUCAGCCAUGAGCUCGGUGAAAUUGUAGUAGCGGUGAAGAUGCCGCUUACCCGCAGUGGGACGAAAAGACCCUGUGCACCUUUACUAUAGCUUAAUAUUGACCUUGGACACGUGAUGUGUAGGAUAGGUGGGAGACUGUGAAGUGGCGUCGCUAGGCGUUGUGGAGUCAUUGUUGAAAUACCACCCUUUGCUUGUCUGAGGCCUAACCCCGCGCUGCGGGGGACAUUGUUUGGUGGGUAGUUUGACUGGGGUG
Molecule: ribosomal RNA, 1363 nt
Filed under: Channa argus (northern snakehead)
Lineage: Eukaryota; Metazoa; Chordata; Actinopteri; Anabantiformes; Channidae
Description: bacterial LSU rRNA
Rfam family: Bacterial large subunit ribosomal RNA
Source: RNAcentral